This 773-nucleotide ribosomal RNA is filed under the name uncultured Neocallimastigales. RNAcentral describes it as "partial large subunit ribosomal RNA". It matches the Rfam family "Eukaryotic large subunit ribosomal RNA", at positions 24 to 642 of the family's 3401-position model. Lineage: Eukaryota; Fungi; Neocallimastigomycota; Neocallimastigomycetes; Neocallimastigales. The record is from RNAcentral.
UAUCUCUGUAGAGUCUGCAUAUCAAUAAGCGGAGGAAAAGAAACUAACAAGGAUUCCCCUGGUAACGGCGAGUGAAGCGGGAAGAGCUCAAAUUUGAAAUCUUCAAGGUUUGACCUUGACGAAUUGUAGUUUAAAGAAGUGUUUUCGGUUAGAGGAGUAGUAAAAGUUCUUUGGAAUAGGACAUCAUAGAGGGUGAGAAUCCCGUAUUUGACUAUUCUUUCUAGCUUUGUGAUACACUUUCAAAGAGUCGGAUUGUUUGGGAAUGCAGUCCAAAAUGGGUGGUAAAUUUCAUCUAAAGCUAAAUAUUGGCGAGAGACCGAUAGCGUACAAGUACCGUGAGGGAAAGAUGAAAAGAACUUUGAAAAGAGAGUUAAACAGUACGUGAAAUUGUCAAAAGGGAAGCGUUUGACACCAGUGUUGUUUUUCCGAAAAUCAAUUAAAAAUUGAUUCAUGCCAGGUUGUAUUGACCUUAUCAGCUUGCAAUUUGGUUUUGGGUCUCUUUUUGAUGCACUUUUCGGUUAACAAGUCAACAUCAAUUUCCUUUGCUGUAAAAAGGUAAGAGGAAGGUGGCUUCAAUUUCGGUUGAAGUGUUUAUAGCCUUUUAUCUCUGCAGUCGGGGAGAUUGAGGUCUGCAGCGUAGAUCCUUCGGGGCUAGAUACAUUUAUGCUAAGUUAUAGCUUUUCAUAGACAACUUGUUGACUAUGUUUAGUCAUGUAGCUUACUCGUAGUGCUAUUUUACCUACGCUUAGGAUGUUGAAGACUCUACAGAGAUA